AUUGAACGCUAGCGGGAUGCCUUACACCUGCAAGUCGAACGGAGUGGCGAACGGGGGAGGAAUGUAUCGGAACGUGCCCAGUAGCGGGGGAUAACUACGCGACAGCGUAGCUAAUACCGCAUACAAUUGGAGCGGCCGAUAACGGAUGAGCUAGUAGGUGGGGUAACGGCUCACAACGGCGACGAUCCGUAGCUGGUUUGAGAGGACGACCAGCCACACUGGGACUGAGACAAGGACCAGACUCCUACGGGAGGCAGCAGUGGGGAAGUUUGGACAAUGGGGGAAACCCUGAUCCAGCCAUCCCGCGUGUGCGAUGAAGGCCUUCGGGUUGUAAAGCACUUUUGGCAGGAAAGCGGUACCUGCAGAAUAAGCACCGGCUAACUACGUGCCAGCAGCCGCGGUAAUUC
RNAcentral lists this ribosomal RNA (407 nucleotides) under uncultured bacterium. RNAcentral's name for it is "partial 16S ribosomal RNA". It matches the Rfam family "Bacterial small subunit ribosomal RNA", at positions 29 to 526 of the family's 1533-position model. The record is from RNAcentral.